Lactuca sativa (garden lettuce) is the source of this 1040-nucleotide non-coding RNA. NCBI's taxonomy places the organism in Eukaryota, Viridiplantae, Streptophyta, Magnoliopsida, Asterales, Asteraceae. The record is from RefSeq and is a predicted model, not a curated record.
AUUUAUAUAUAUACUAAUUUUGAACUACAAGUUGAACAGUUCUUGCAUCUGAUUGGCUGUAAUUUUUUUUUUGUUUUCUUCUUUUGUUCUCUUAUUUGGCUUGGUUUCAUCGGCUUCUGAUACACUUACAACGUGUCUUGCACCGCCUUUGUUCUCCAAUGGAAAGCUUACACAAUUGCUUCCACCGUCUCACCAACCAUUCCUGUUUGUUCCAUCUUCCUCCACCCGCUUAUCUUCUUUUCCAAUCGGUAUUCCACCGUUUUCCCUCAAUCAAUUUCCCUCAACUAAUUCCACCGCCACUAGCACCGACGUCGCCCUCUCUGGUACUUUCUACACACCAUUCUCCACCGUCUGCUCUGUUUAUCUGGGUUUCCAGCGACUGUGAGGUUGGUGCACCGGACACCUGAUUUGGUUUUUUAACAUGCCCUUAGCCAACGUCGUCGUCUAUUUGUCCUUCUCCGACGUCGUCGUCUGUUUGUCCUUCUCCGAUUCCCCUGUGUUUCCCAUAUUGAGGGUUAUAAUUUCUUCUUGAUUUUUGUAUUACGGCUUAUGGUCCCCUCCGCAACGUCAACACCUUCGGUCUUACCCGAGACGACUUCAGUUCCACCGGAGACUUCUUCAGUUGUACCAGAGACGCCUAUGAUGGAAGCGUUGGUGUAAGUGCUUGGAUAAUCGGACGUCAUUGGUGGAAUUGUGAUCUGUUGUGCACAAAAAUCGGAAAAUUUGUUAGCCGUGUUGUUGUUGCUGUACAGAUAUGUCGACAUAGAAGAGAGAUCAAGUAGUUUCAACAGGAAGAGGAUUCUGAUACAAAUUUCAUUGAAGCUUAUUUGUUGAAUAAAAAGACAGAAGAAGAGUGAAGCCAAUCCCAUUCCAGUUCCAGCCAAUAAGGGUUUAUUGGUCAAUACAUGAGUUUUGCCAUUAAUGCGUUGUAAGGCUAAUCAUUAACCAUGUAAAUCUUGAAACUUUCAAAGAUUUCAAUGCUAUGACAUUGUUUUAGCCUUUUAGGACAAUUGAACUAUAGAUAAGAUCAUUACAAUCUU